RNAcentral lists this ribosomal RNA (253 nucleotides) under uncultured bacterium. Its description in RNAcentral is "partial 16S ribosomal RNA". It matches the Rfam family "Bacterial small subunit ribosomal RNA", at positions 524 to 776 of the family's 1533-position model. The record is from RNAcentral.
UACGUAGGGUGCGAGCGUUAAUCGGAAUUACUGGGCGUAAAGCGUGCGCAGGCGGUUUUGUAAGCCAGAUGUGAAAUCCCCGGGCUUAACCUGGGAAUGGCAUUUGGGACUGCAAGGCUGGAGUUUGGCAGAGGAGACUGGAAUUCCUGGUGUAGCAGUGAAAUGCGUAGAUAUCGGGAGGAACACCAGUGGCGAAGGCGACUUCCUGGCCUGUUCUUGACGCUGAGGCGCGAAAGCUAGGGGAGCAAACGGG